AAAUGGUGAAAAUAUUAAGAGAACCGCCUUCACACGGCGGGGGCCACAGGUUCAAGUCCUGUACUGCCCACCA
This 73-nucleotide transfer RNA is filed under the name Desulfovibrio sp. RNAcentral's name for it is "tRNA-OTHER". The record is from RNAcentral. Lineage: Bacteria; Pseudomonadati; Thermodesulfobacteriota; Desulfovibrionia; Desulfovibrionales; Desulfovibrionaceae.